RNAcentral lists this ribosomal RNA (378 nucleotides) under uncultured organism. RNAcentral's name for it is "partial 16S ribosomal RNA". It matches the Rfam family "Bacterial small subunit ribosomal RNA", at positions 527 to 896 of the family's 1533-position model. The record is from RNAcentral.
GUAGGUGGCAAGCGUUGUCCGGAAUUAUUGGGCGUAAAGCGCGCGCAGGCGGUUCUUUAAGUCUGAUGUGAAAGCCCACGGCUCAACCGUGGAGGGUCAUUGGAAACUGGAGAACUUGAGUACAGAAGAGGAAAGCGGAAUUCCACGUGUAGCGGUGAAAUGCGUAGAGAUGUGGAGGAACACCAGUGGCGAAGGCGGCUUUCUGGUCUGUAACAGACGCUGAGGCGCGAAAGCGUGGGGAGCAAACAGGGAUUAGAUACCCUGGUAGUCCACGCCGUAAACGAUGAGUGCUAAGUGUUAGGGGGGGUUUUCCGGCCCCCUUAGUGCCCGCAGCUAACGCAUUAAGCACUCCGCCUGGGGAGUACGGCCGCAAGGCUG